This 449-nucleotide ribosomal RNA is filed under the name uncultured bacterium. Its description in RNAcentral is "partial 16S ribosomal RNA". It matches the Rfam family "Bacterial small subunit ribosomal RNA", at positions 29 to 523 of the family's 1533-position model. The record is from RNAcentral.
AACGAACGCUGGCGGCAUGCCUAACACAUGCAAGUCGAACGAGAUCUUCCGGUCUAGUGGCGCACGGGUGCGUAACGCGUGGGAAUCUGCCCUUUGGUUCGGAAUAACAGUCGGAAACGACUGCUAAUACCGGAUGAUGACGAAAGUCCAAAGAUUUAUCGCCAGAGGAUGAGCCCGCGUAGGAUUAGCUAGUUGGUGUGGUAAAGGCGCACCAAGGCGACGAUCCUUAGCUGGUCUGAGAGGAUGAUCAGCCACACUGGGACUGAGACACGGCCCAGCCUCCUACGGGGGGCAGCAGUGGGGAAUAUUGGACAAGGGGCGAAAGCCUGAUCCGGCAAUGCCGCGUGAGUGAUGAAGGCCUUAGGGUUGAAAAGCUCUUUUCCCCGGGAUGAUAAUGACAGUACGGGAAGAAUAAGCUCCGGCUAACUCCGUGCCAGCAGCCGCGGUAA